UGGUGACUAUAGCAAGGAGGUCACACCUGUUCCCAUGCCGAACACAGAAGUUAAGCUCCUUAGCGUCGAUGGUAGUCG
Molecule: ribosomal RNA, 78 nt
Filed under: Staphylococcus aureus
Lineage: Bacteria; Bacillati; Bacillota; Bacilli; Caryophanales; Staphylococcaceae
Also listed under: 5 other names
Source: RNAcentral